UAGCGCUCAUGGCUUACGUCGAGCGAGGAACAAAAUGUCGUGGCAGCUUUCCACAAUAUUUUCCUAUGAGAAUAAAUGAGCAACCAUUAGCAUAUUGUUCACAUCUUGUUGUUCAGGUGUUGUGAAAUCGAAAAGAUCAAUAUGGCGACUGAAAACUGUACCGGAUUUCUUCUGGGCUAUUGUAAAUUUUAUAGGCGUGUUCUUUGCUACAAUGUUCUCGAUGGAAAAGUCAACUGCUUGCCGGAAAGGAUCUGGUUCUGGAAAGAAAUGGGAUGGUGG
This 279-nucleotide unclassified non-coding RNA is filed under the name Hevea brasiliensis (rubber tree). Lineage: Eukaryota; Viridiplantae; Streptophyta; Magnoliopsida; Malpighiales; Euphorbiaceae. The record is from RNAcentral.